RNAcentral lists this ribosomal RNA (217 nucleotides) under uncultured bacterium. RNAcentral describes it as "partial 16S ribosomal RNA". It matches the Rfam family "Bacterial small subunit ribosomal RNA", at positions 119 to 334 of the family's 1533-position model. The record is from RNAcentral.
GAGCACCUGCCUUUGGUGGUGGGGGAGUAGCCGGGCUAACGCCCGGGUAAUACCGCAUACGGUUGCCGAGGGGAGUCCUUUGGCAAAGAAACCUCCGGGGCACAGAGAGGGGCUCGCGGCCUAUCAGCUAGUUGGUGAGGUAAUGGCUCACCAAGGCGACGACGGGUAGCUGGUCUGAGAGGAUGGCCAGCCACAUUGGGACUGAGAUACGGCCCAG